AUUGAACGCUGGCGGCAUGCUUUACACAUGCAAGUCGAACGGCAGCGCGGGCUUCGGCCUGGCGGCGAGUGGCGAACGGGUGAGUAAUGCAUCGGAACGUGCCCAGUAGUGGGGGAUAGCCCGGCGAAAGCCGGAUUAAUACCGCAUACGACCUGCGGGUGAAAGCGGGGGACCGAAAGGCCUCGCGCUAUUGGAGCGGCCGAUGUCGGAUUGGCUAGUUGGUGGGGUAAAGGCUUACCAAGGCGACGAUCCGUAGCUGGUCUGAGAGGACGACCAGCCACACUGGGACUGAGACACGGCCCAGACUCCUACGGGAGGCAGCAGUGGGGAAUUUUGGACAAUGGUGGCAUCCCUGAUCCAGCCAUGCCGCGUGCGGGAAGAAGGCCUUCGGGUUGUAAACCGCUUUUGUUCGGGAAGAAAUCCUCUGGGCUAAUACCCCGGGGGGAUGACGGUACCGGAAGAAUAAGCACCGGCUAACUACGUG
Molecule: ribosomal RNA, 484 nt
Filed under: uncultured bacterium
Lineage: Bacteria
Description: partial 16S ribosomal RNA
Rfam family: Bacterial small subunit ribosomal RNA
Source: RNAcentral